Coniella lustricola is the source of this 111-nucleotide non-coding RNA. The record is from the annotation of a GenBank genome assembly. Lineage: Eukaryota; Fungi; Ascomycota; Sordariomycetes; Diaporthales; Schizoparmaceae.
GGCAAGAUGGCCGAGCGGUCUAAGGCGCUACGUUCAGGUGUUCAACUUCCGGUUGAAUUACUCAAUUUCGUAGUCUCGAAAGAGGCGCGAGUUCGAAUCUCGUUCUUGUCA